AUGAGCCUUGUGAGCACAUCACGGCUGCCUGCACUCACAUCCCUGUGUCCCCUGGCAGGGUGCCCUGGGAGAUCCGGGGGACGCCGGUGUCAGCGGGCUGGAUGGCGAGCAGGGACCACCGGGACCACCAGGAGCCGAGGGGCAGCCGGGGCCCAAGGGGCAGCAGGGAGAAGCAGGACCCCGCGGAGCUCCGGGCGUCAGAGGUGGCCGUGGGGAGCGAGGGGACGAGGGGCCAGCAGGACCACCGGGGGGGCCCGGGGAGCAGGGGAAGGAGGUUUGUGCUGGGGGGCUGCAGCUGCCUCGGGACAGGGAUGGGGCACGGCCGCUGCUUCAGGUGCUGAUGGUGCUUCACCCCCGGGCAGGGCGAUGUCGGUGACGCAGGAGAGCCGGGCGAGCCGGGAGCGCGGGGACACAAGGUGGGGAGCACAUCUUCUGUGCUGCCACCCGCAGCAUGCUCUGCCUCCGCCUCCCAGCUUGUCCCUGUGGGACGGGUGCAGGAAGGGGGUGUCCCCUGGACCUGUUGGGUGCCUGGGGGACGUGUCCUCGUGGGGACGCUCACUUAAUUGCUUCUUCUUUCUCCUCCUCGCCGUGACACCGCUGUUUCCAUCUCGGAGCAGGGAGAUGCUGGCCCUCGGGGCUUUCCUGGAGCGCCAGGACCAGGAGCUGCUACGGGGGAAAUUGGAGGCAAAGGCCCCAGAGGAGAGAAGGGCCAGGAAGGUUUGCUGGCAAGUACAGCGAGGGAGUAAUCCAGUGCCGUGGGGCUCCAGUGCUUCCCCCAGCUGGGUGUGGGGUGCUCAGGAACAGGGCUUGCCCCCAGCAGGAGACUUCGGGCUCUAG
RNAcentral lists this long non-coding RNA (837 nucleotides) under Anser brachyrhynchus (Pink-footed goose). RNAcentral describes it as "lncRNA (ENSABRG00000022875.1)". Lineage: Eukaryota; Metazoa; Chordata; Aves; Anseriformes; Anatidae. The record is from RNAcentral.